UCUCUCCCUUCACCGACGGCUACUUCUCCUUGUACCCCUGCAAGCUCGAAGAGGUCAACAUCGAGUGCGGCGAGAUCUCAAAAUUUACAGAUCUGAGCUAGCCAUCUUCAAUUUUUCGCUACCCAUUUUGGAAGAUCCAAAGUCCAGGUACUCAAAUGUUCUGUAUUGAGCUGAUUGGAAGUGGUUUUCUUUUUCUUUUUUCUAUUGAUUAUCCUAUUCUCUAAUGGGUUCGCUUCUGUCUCCUUCAUAUCGCUCCUCAACCCCACCUCACUGGCAAAAGGUUAAGCAAAGAGAAGAAGGUUCCUUAAAGCUGAAGCCUUUGUGAAUGAAAUGGGUCUGAGCAGACCUCACAAGGUCGGCAAUGGAAUCGCCACCAGAUGGGUUUUCUCUGUUUUGCAUUGCCAGUUUCUUCUUGGGUGUUCUUGUUAUCAACAGUCGUUGCCAUCAAGAUGUACCACAUCGAUGUGUCCGAGCCCAUACAAAUCCCAGUUCUCAAUUCAAGGUUCAAUAUUGCUUCAAUCUUACAAGCAAUGGAAGCUGGUUUCUUUGCUUGAAUGCAACUCGCUUCUUUUGAAGUGAUUCAAGUUUCCAUAGCUGGGUUAUUUCUCCGUUUCAAUUGUAUUGAAGUACUUGGAGCUCUCAAACUUCAGCUAGACUGGGAACGGAGAGCUAGCAGUGUUGAUCCCAAAAAGUUGAGUCUGGGGCUAUAAGAUAAAAAUCCAAUUGUGAUUGGACCUCCCAAAAUGUUUCCAACUGUGGCUGAAGAAGAAAAGUCGAAAGGGAACCCAAAAGGAGAAGAAGCAGGAAACUAUGAGAUGGUCAGAUGAAAAAGUCAAAAAGAUUAUAUGCAAAAAACUUUUGCCAACAUUUUUCUGCUGCUGUUCCUUUGUCUGCUGCUCAAUAUUAUCUUGGUUUUGUAUUGUUAUUCAGAUUUGGGGAACAGUUUGCAGUCAGAUUCCUUAACUGUUAUUGAUCCAGGGCUACCAAAAGGGAGUAAGAAAUGCAGACACAAACUAAACUCAUGGAGAGGAACAAGUCCAUGAUUGGGUGGACUUCUCUUUAUUAGUAGUAACUUGCAGUAUGUUACAAGCUCGACCUUGGUGCUAUACAUCUUCUCGAAAUCCAUAAGUAGUACACAUCUGAAGCAACAGACUACACAUUUGAAGAACUCAUAUGGAAUGAUUGGUUCAAUCUUGAAAUCUGCUUAGGGGUUGCUUAUAUUCAAGAAGUUGGGAAAGCCAGCCUCUUUUGACACUUUACUGCACAUUUCCUGCUCAAAAUCUCAAACUUGCUACUACUCAGUUUACUCUUUUGAGUGGGCGGUAAAGGAUCGAAAAUGGUAUACCCAACAACAACUUGACGAGGUCCGCAUUGAAGUAGUCGACUACUUACAGACUCUGCUGUAGGUUCUGACCAGUUUCUUGAUUUUGAGUUAGGCUAGCUUUUAAUUAAUUUUUUUGUAGCAAUUAUGAACAAACAUGAAUACUAAUUGCUAGGCUAGCCUUGUAGUAGGUGAAUUGGGGUUUUAUUUUGCCCAUUUUGUAAACUGUUAAGGAUGAUGAUUUUAGAUAUAAUACUCCAAUAUUCAAAUCACUCUUGUCAACUAUUGAAAUUGCAAUUUAUAACAGCAGCUACAUAUUUUGUGGACAUCAUCCUCUUUAUAGAAUGUGAUGUCUAGAUAUAAAGUUGAAAUCAGUUUUAACCAUAAAAACUGAUGUCUAGUAAUACAGAUACAUCAGUUCCAAAAUGAAAAUCGAUGUUACUGAAAUAUACAGACAUCGAUUU
Rosa rugosa (rugosa rose) is the source of this 1785-nucleotide long non-coding RNA. RefSeq lists it as uncharacterized. Lineage: Eukaryota; Viridiplantae; Streptophyta; Magnoliopsida; Rosales; Rosaceae. The record is from RefSeq and is a predicted model, not a curated record. The transcript has 8 exons.